GACGAACGCUGGCGGCGUGCUUAACACAUGCAAGUCGAGCGGAAAGGCCCUGCGGUUGUCUCGAGCGCGAGAGGGGAGAGUAAGAGGUAAACGAGCGGCACUUGACCUUGGGAUAGGGCUAGGAAACGGGGACUAGGACUGGAAACUCCUACUAAAUCGUAUGGCAUGGUGGGGAAUGUUUAUCGGUCGGGGAUGGACUCGCGGCCUAUCAGCUUGUUGGUGGGGUAGUGGCCUACCAAGGCGAGGACGGGUAGCCGGCCUGAGAGGGUGACCGGCCACAGUGGGACUGAGACACGGCCCAGACUCCUACGGGAGGCAGCAGUGGGGAAUAUUGCACAAUGGGCGGAAGCCUGAUGCAGCGACGCCGCGUGCGGGAUGACGGCCUUCGGGUUGUAAACCUCUUUCAGCAGGGACGAAGCGUAAGUGACGGUACCUGCAGAAGAAGCGCCGGCCAACUACGUG
RNAcentral lists this ribosomal RNA (462 nucleotides) under uncultured bacterium. RNAcentral's name for it is "partial 16S ribosomal RNA". It matches the Rfam family "Bacterial small subunit ribosomal RNA", at positions 28 to 507 of the family's 1533-position model. The record is from RNAcentral.